Molecule: ribosomal RNA, 466 nt
Filed under: uncultured bacterium
Lineage: Bacteria
Description: partial 16S ribosomal RNA
Rfam family: Bacterial small subunit ribosomal RNA
Source: RNAcentral
ACGAACGCUGGCGGCGUGCUUAACCCAUGCCAGUCGAACGGAAAGGCCUCUUUCGGGGGGUACUCGAGUGGCGAACGGGUGAGUAACACGUGAGUAACCUGCCCUUGACUUUGGGAUAACUUCAGGAAACUGGGGCUAAUACCGGAUAGGAUCUCCUGCUGCAUGGUGGGGGUUGGAAAGUUUCGGCGGUUGGGGAUGGACUCGCGGCUUAUCAGCUUGUUGGUGGGGUAGUGGCUUACCAAGGCUUUGACGGGUAGCCGGCCUGAGAGGGUGACCGGCCACAUUGGGACUGAGAUACGGCCCAGACUCCUACGGGAGGCAGCAGUGGGGAAUAUUGCACAAUGGGUGGAAGCCUGAUGCAGCAACGCCGUGUGCGGGAUGACGGCCUUCGGGUUGUAAACCGCUUUCGCUCAUGACGAAGCUUUGUGUGACGGUAGUGGGUAAAGAAGCACCGGCUAACUACGUG